AGAGUUUGAUCCUGGCUCAGAUUGAACGCUGGCGGCAUGCCUUACACAUGCAAGUCGAACGGCAGCACGGGGGCAACCCUGGCGGCGAGUGGCGAACGGGUGAGUAAUACAUCGGAACGUGCCCAGUAGUGGGGGAUAGCUCGGCGAAAGCCGGAUUAAUACCGCAUACGACCUACGGGUGAAAGCGGGGGAUCGCAAGACCUCGCGCUAUUGGAGCGGCCGAUGUCAGAUUAGGUUGUUGGUGGGGUAAAAGCCUACCAAGCCGACGAUCUGUAGCUGGUCUGAGAGGACGACCAGCCACACUGGGACUGAGACACGGCCCAGACUCCUACGGGAGGCAGCAGUGGGGAAUCUUGCGCAAUGGGCGUAAGCCUGACGCAGCGACGCCGCGUGAGGGAAGAAGGCCUUCGGGUUGUAAACCUCUUUCAGGAGGGACGAAGCCACUCGGGUUAAUAGCCCAGAGGGUGACGGUACCUCCAGAAGAAGCCCCGGCUAACUACGUGCCAGCAGCCGCGGUAAU
RNAcentral lists this ribosomal RNA (520 nucleotides) under uncultured soil bacterium. RNAcentral describes it as "bacterial SSU rRNA". It matches the Rfam family "Bacterial small subunit ribosomal RNA", at positions 8 to 524 of the family's 1533-position model. The record is from RNAcentral.